This 3205-nucleotide long non-coding RNA is filed under the name Heterocephalus glaber (naked mole-rat). RNAcentral's name for it is "lncRNA (ENSHGLG00100050403.1)". Lineage: Eukaryota; Metazoa; Chordata; Mammalia; Rodentia; Bathyergidae. The record is from RNAcentral.
CUAGGACGCAGGAUGCCUGCCAACACGAGUCUUUGCCUGCUAGUGGUUGUUGUGAGAGGGAAGGUAUUGAGCUAUAUUCCAUGAAGCCUUCUCCAUGGAACCAUGCAAAACCAGAAGAAAAACAGCAGCUGUGAAAACCAACAGCCUAGUGACAACUGGGUCUGGGUGGACAAAUGGUGUGCAGAUCACGUCUGAAGCACUCCCAGAAGCCCUGGUACCAGAGUGAUGUCCAUAUUUGAUAAAUAUGACUGCUGUCUGGAAAAGUACCUUUUUAGGGGCUUAUCUUUAUUUGACCUGACUCAAAGUUGAAAGAAUUCAGUGGCUAUGGUUUACUAUCAGAGGAAUAUAAGACUGGGAUAAUCGUUUAAAGAAUUAAAAGGUUUGCCUAAAAUUAAAAAAAAAAAAUUUGAAAAAUAGUGUUGAAAAGUUUUGACAUAGUCCUUGAGAUCCAAAAGUCUGUGAAAGACCUAUAAUAUUCUAAUGUUAAAUAUUUGGUUAUCUUUGGUGUUCUAUAUAAGUACAAAGUUAAAAAUAAGGAAGAGAUACAAGUACCAAAACACUGAAAUAAUUUCUCAGCACGCACUCAUGGGUGCUCUUGGCAAGGACCAUGAGAUUUGUUUUUUCAAUACUUGAAGUGACUCUUUGUCCAAACAUUAGAUGACAAUUACUCUGACCAAAAAGCUGGAAUCAGUGCCUGCAUAUAAAAAUAAUGCAUAGUUUACAAAAUUAUUCCAUGAAAAUUGCUAUUAACAUAGCCACAGCAGCACAUACUGAGAUUAGGAAAUAGAUUUUCUGACUUAGAUGAUUAUAUUAUUUAAAACGUCUAGCUUUCAACUAUAAUUGAUAAGAAAUGCAAGAAAACGAUGGCCCAUGUACAGAGAGAUGGAGCAACAGCAACAACAAAUGAAACUUAUUCACAAAGAAACCAAAGCAACAGUGCACAGAAAUUGAGGAAGCCCAAAUGUUGAACUUGUGAGACAACAACUUUAUAUAAGUCAUAUUGAGUUUAGAAAAAAGUAAAGCAAACCAUGACUGAAGAACCAAAAAUGUAUGAGAAUGAUCUCCAUAUGGAGUAAUAAUAAAGUGACUGAAAGCAAUAUAAAGUCAUAGAUAGCGAUUUGAGAGUUAAAAAUAUCACCAAUAUGAAAAACCCACUACAUUGAUUCUACCUGAACUGGCAGAAAAUCAGAAUUCAGAAAAAUGAUCCAAAGGAAACUGACCAUUUUCUCUACCAGGAAAAAGAAAUGAAGAAAAAUUAGCAGUUUAACAACAUAUGUAUACAGCAGUCUCAGAAAGACAGACAAUCUGGAAUUCACAUCAUUACUUGUGUUUUGAAACAUUUAUAAUAGAUAUUCUUGCUGGAGUAAGAUGUGACUGUGGUGUUAUUUUGUUUUGCAUUUCUCUAAUGGUCAAAUAUGCUGAACAUUUUUCAGAUACUUACUGGGCAUUUGUAGUUCUUCUCUUGUGAAGUAUCUGUUCAUUUCAAUUGACUUUUUGUUUGUUUGUUUGUUUGUUUUAGAGAUUUUUUUGUUAGCUUUUUUUUCUUUAACAAACCCUAGAUAUUAGUUCUUUGUCUACGGAAUAACUGACAAAAAAAAAAAUUCCCCUUCUGUAGAUUGUUGGUUUACUCUGUUGGUUGUUUCAUUUGUAGUGAAGAUUUAAAUUAGGUAUAAAAAUUUCCAAAGAUGAAGGAGUGAAGGGAGGGGAAGGGGAAAGGAAAAGAGCAAAAGGAAAAACUAUGAGAAAAGAAAAAAUAAUUGGAAGUGAAAUCUAUGUAAAUAGGGAAGGGCGGAGGGGGUGAAGGGUGCACAGGUAAUGGGGGAAAAAAAAUAAGAACUAAGAUAUAUCAUGUACAGGCACAAGCACCCAAUGAUAAAUGUAAACGAAUUAUAUAUCUAAAAUGUACCAAUAAAAGAACUAAAAAAAAUAAAAAAUAAAAAUAAAUAAAUUAGGUAUAAUUUUUUUUGCUGAUUUGUGGUACAUAUUUUUGUUCAAUUAGGGUUCUGUCCAGAAAGUUCUGCCUACAUCUAUGUCUUCAAGAAUUUUAUUCAGUUUUUUCUUCCACUAGUUUCAGUAUUUCUAUUUUAAAAGUAGGUCUAUGGUCCAUUUCCAGAUGAUUUUAGUACUGGGAGAUAUGGAUUUAGUUUCAUUCUUCUGCAUGCACUCUCUGCAGUCCUCAUGUGUCAACAAGGCUUUCUCUGACAUAUAUUAUUGGCCCCUUUGUCAAAAAAAUCAAAAGAAUUAGAGUGCUUGGCACUAUUGCUAUAUCUUCUAUUUUAUUGCAUUGGUCAACAUGUCUUUUUAAAAAUUACUUCCAUGCUGUUUUUAUUACUGUAGUUUUGCAAUAUGUAUUGUUUAGUGCAUUUGUAUUUAUAGUUGCUAUCAUUUCCUACUGAAUUGUUCCCUUUAUCAGUAGGUAGCAACCUUUAUUUCUUCUGAGAAGUUUUGGCUUCAAGUCUAUUUUGUUUGAAAAUAGAAUACAGCAGAUAGUCCUACUUGCUUUUGGGCUCCUGUUGUAUGGAUUAUCGUUUAUAUGAAUUGUUUUCCUGGAAAUUGAGUUCUUUCCCUAGACUUAAAAUAUUCUGAAUGAUUUUGAUAAUUUUUAUAACAUCUGUGUCAUCUUCUAGUCUUUCUUUAUUUCCUAUAAUUCUUAGGUUAGUUUUUUUUUUUUUUUUUAGUCAUUUCUCAGCUGUUACAUCCUGCUUCCUUGGUUUCUUGUUUUUAAAAUAUCAUUGAGUGCAAGACAUAAACCAAAAAGAUUCAUACAAAAAAGAAAAGAAAGACAAUAACUCAAAUUUUUUUUUCCAUGAACUAAGAUAAACUAGUAGCAAAAUAAUAUGUCAGGCCAAGUAACUAGUUUGAAGAUAACAAUGAGCAGUAUAGUAACUUUUGUUAUUUUCCUUUAUUUGAUUAUAAUUUUUUCAUUGUUUCAUAAAAUAAAAGAUAAAAUUUUCAAGUAGAAAAUAUAUCAUUUUAAAGAUGUAAUAUGGUGCUGAAUUUUUAUUUACCUACUUAUUAGAAUGGGGAGGACAAUAAACGAUCAGGAGUAACAUUUUGGUAUAUGUUCAAAGGUAUGAAAAGGAAGCUUGGAGAAUAUCAGACAUCAAUACACAAUACAAUUAAGUACUGCAAAAAGUAUCACUGACUACAGGAUCUCCUGCAUAAAUCUUGUCUUCUGUUUCUGAUAUUCUGUCCUCAUAUUGGU